Molecule: long non-coding RNA, 3790 nt
Filed under: Marmota monax (woodchuck)
Lineage: Eukaryota; Metazoa; Chordata; Mammalia; Rodentia; Sciuridae
Source: RNAcentral
GGGACCUUUUCCAGGACUUCAAACCAACUUCUACUUAAUAUCAAUGGCCAGGAUUUAGAUAAACCUAACUGCAAAAAAGUCUGAGAAAUAGCUUUUAGUGCACAUCAUUGGUGCCACAAGUAAAGUCAGAGUUCCUAAUAAUGAGAAGGAAGGUCUAUCGUUAAGUUACAGUUGGUGGUCUGUGUUAUAUGAUUAUAAGUAGAAUUUCCCAUUUUAUUUAUGUCAGAUUAAAGAUCCAGCAACUCCUAGUGGAAGCAUAAAAGAAAGGAACAAAUGUGAGUUUUUAAACAGACAAGGUUUUAGUUCUUUCCUGCCAUAUUAGCCUUAGAAUUCUGGACAGAUUUUUCUCACUUUCCUAGGGCAGCUUCCUCCUGAUCUGUAAAGUAGAAGUGAUGAUGUAGACUUCACAGAGUUGGCCUUGUACUUCAUUGAGAUGAUGGCUUUGAGUGCUUCAUGUAGUGACCCAUACAUAACAGGCACUCAUUCAGGCACUCUGUGCAGUAGAGGUGAAAAAUAGUCUCAAGGCCUCUUUCUGCCUUCCGCUUACAAUCCUACCAAAGCAUGACUCUGAAUGGCAGACAUCAGCAGGAGAAGUAACCGCCUCAGGGAUGUAGAUGGGCUUCUGAAGUAAACAGGGAUAUGAUUUGGUCUCUUGGUUUUAAUUUUGGUAAAGGCAGUAGGAAACUGAGACCAGAUAAGAUUAUAUAGCCCAGUGUCCGCCCCCAUAACAUGAAGGGAAAUUUUGUGGAAAGGCAAGAUUAUCCUUCCCUUUAUGUUUCAUUAUAGAUCAUGUGAUUCUUACAUUUAACCUGUUUCUUGUCCGCAUUUGUAUUUUCAUUUUAUGCCCCUUUAACCUACGUUUCCUUCUUUUACCGCCACUAAAUAAGACAUUUUUUUAUAUUUCAGUUUCUAAACCUUAUGUUGCUGGAUUUUAAUUUUAAACAAGAUGAAUGCAUUUGUUUAUCCCUUCUUUAUUUUUUUUUAUUUUUUUUAAGAGAGAGAUUUUUUUAAUAUUUAUUUUUUAGUUUUUGGUGGACACAACAUGUUUGUUUUUAUGUGGUACUGAGGAUCGAACCCAGUGCCCCGUGCAUGCUUUUUCAUUUUCCAUGAACUUUGACUUUUCUUUUUAAUCCAUUUCAGUUCUUGUAAAUAGGAAAAAAGCCAAACCCCAUGUUAAACAUGAUGGGGGGGCGGGGAUCAUCCUUUCACCCCAGGGUGAGGCACAGAUAAGAAUGUUGGACACCAUGAUGUUCUGUUUCCAAAGGCUGUGCUUGGUCGUGGCUGUGCCAAAAGCAAAACCGGGAGAAAGGACGUAGGCUUCUGGCUCAGGGUUGUCCAUUUUCUGCCUGGUUUCACAGAGAAGCACAGCAGUGAGGUCAUUGUGGCUUAGUGCUAUUCCCAUUUAAUGCUAGGAUCCCAUCAGUUGUCGUAGAGGAGGUUUGGAUGCUUUGUUUGACACCCUGUCUUCUCUCAUAGUUUGGCCUGUCACUGCUCCUUGUUCUCCUGAGCCGUGGGGAAGACUUACAGAGUUCAGACCCUGCUACAGAAUCAACGCAAAAUAACCAAUGGUCAGUACGGACUAUUUCUCUAUUUUAAGUUUUUUGAGGUGAUCUUUCUUUUUUUCCCUCAUCUUGUUGUUUGGUUUUCCCUAUCAGGACGGAGGUGAUGUUCAUGGCAACCCGAGAACUUCUGCGGAUUCCCCAAGCAGCCCUGGCCAAACCAAUCUCUAUACCCACAAACCUAGUGUCCCUUUUUUCUCGCUAUGUCGACCGGCAGAAAUUGAACUUGCUGGAGACAAAACUGCAGUAAGUUUUAAAAAGGAUAGUUGCACAUGUCAACAAAGUUGGCAUUUUAGAAGUUAUGAUAGAGGGGAGGAUAAAACUGAAUUUGGUGGAAAAGAGUAAAGACUUUAAAUAAAUAUUCGCGUAUCUACUGAUAUAAAAUGCUAUACUGGGUGCAACAGUACCCUCAUUGAAGUUGACUAAGAGUAAAACAAUGUCUUGGGUGUUUUGUUAUUGAGAAUCUUUACAAGGUUGAAAUUUUAAUACAAAAGUUUACUUUCUAUUUAAACUUAUUUAUAUAAACAAGUUUUCUUUCUCUUUUUUUAUACCCUUAGGCUAGUUCAGGGGAUACGAUAAAAGAUCUCCAAAUGUGUCCUGUACCUCCUUUGGGCUGCCACCUGCACUGCUGCCAUCACCAAUGGAGUGUUUUUAAUGAGGGAGGGAAGGUAGCUUAUUCCCCAAAGCAAAGUCUUGUGGGAUUGAUUCCUGUUUACAGGGGUUGUCUCUAAAUGCCAGGUAUUUUCCCCAUUGCUCUGUGAAAUUUGGCUGGGUGAUACUUAUGCUGGUUUCUUCUUUACUUUCUGUGUUACAAUUCUGCAUGUCCUACUUUUACUCAAUUCUUCUCAAUUUUGCAUUUUCUUUGCCCUAGCGACAAAAAAUUAUAUCUCCCUUGAUCCCACUACCACUACUCCAGUUCAAAGUAGAUUGUAGCCUGCCAAAAGAUUCUUCCCCUCAUCCUAUUGAAGUCUUUUUUCAUUAUCCCAUAUUAAUGUGACUGUAGGAGAGCCAACUAAAUAGAAAUCAAGUUCUAGAAACACACAUACCCCAUACAUACAUUUAUAUGAUCUCCAGAGGGUCCUUAAAGAAUGAAUUUUAGAUUGAAAAAUAUUUAGUUGACACAUACCAUCUCUAAACAAACCAACUGAUAUAUUUUUAAUCUGUUUCUAUUUCGUCUUGUAAUUAAUUUGGUGGAAAUACUUAUUUGUUUUAAUAUAAAUACAGGGUAUAUGGCACAUUUAAUAAGAUCAUAUUUCUUAAUUGGCUGGUGCCCAGCUCUAGGUUGAGAAGUGAUUUUCCUCUUCCCCACCUGUAUUUUCUUUGUUUUGUCCACCCUAAUGGAAACAGCACACGGUUAAGCCUUUUUCCAGCUACAACCACAGUGUGCUUGAGCCUGUCCCCUCAAGUGCAUUCAGGAGCACCCAAGGUGAUCCUCACUUACAGCCUGCUUGAGCAGUGUAGCUUUUUGCACACUCUGUCUUCCUGAGGUGACUUCAGUAAGCCAUGCUUGUCCAUCUCUUUUCCUCAUUUUCAUCUGGUGUCAUGGGUAGAAACCUUCAAAUGUAACCACAGAAGCUAAGCUUGGCCUGCUCUGCUCUUCACUAUCCUCCAACAUGGGCAGAACUGCCGCCCUGGCUCGUCCAUCUCACCUGAGCCUCGUUCCCAGACAGCCAGGGACCUGGGUUUAAAUCUUAGCAGGUACAGCCUGCCAUGAUCUUUUGUCACUUACCCUUCCUUUCAGCAAUCAACCAGGAUAAGGGUUUUGGUCCCUAGAGAUUUCAGUUCUGAAGAAGAUUAAAUCUGAAUCAAUUUUACAUGCCCUUCCAGUCUACUUUAUGCCAUUCUCACCUUUUCGAAUGUAGUGGGGGACUGGCUGUGACAUUUAAAGAGAAUAAACGUUUUGCACAUACAUGUAUUGUACAACAGUAAAAUCCUGUUAUAACCAGCUGUCCUUGUUCUUCAUCUCCGUUUCUUCCCAUUCUGUAACCCAGGCUUCACCAGCUGUUCCCCAGUGACAUUACCUAGCUUCCCUCCACCAUCACCUACUGACUAUUUCCACUAUGCGCCUUUCCUACCUUCCCUUCACAACUGAUCAAGUGAAUACUUGAUUAUUAUUUCUUCCUUACUGUGCUUUAUUUUUGUUUGGUUCUAAUUAAUGAAAAUAAAAGUUUCUAAAUUUACAUUUUUAUAGGGUAUUGUAAAUAAAAACAAAUUGUAUACUUCAAAAAACU